AGUGAAUUACCAUUGGGCCAUA
This 22-nucleotide microRNA is filed under the name Salmo salar (Atlantic salmon). Its description in RNAcentral is "ssa-miR-183-2-3p". Its record names the gene ssa-miR-183-2-3p. The record is from miRBase by way of RNAcentral. Lineage: Eukaryota; Metazoa; Chordata; Actinopteri; Salmoniformes; Salmonidae.